GCAGCAGAACGGCGUGGCCUGAUUGGCUGGGGCAUGUCCCUCCCCGCCAAUCAGGAGACGACAGAAGGAAAGUUUCCCCCCACGUGCGCUAGAGACAAGUUGACAAAGUGGCGCUGAGGGGGGUCUGACCCCCUCCCCCGAAGUUUCCUAUUGGUCCCCCAUCGGGGGCAGGGCCUCCAGAAAGAAUAAAAGGCCACCUGCCGGGCACACGGGCGGAAUCAGCCAUGGGCGGCAGUGGACAGAGAAGAGCUGGUAGAGCUGGCCAGCGGGGGAGCAGUAACCCCGGAACAGACCUGAAGAGGCAGCGGCGCCCCGAGGAGGUGAGGCGGAGCCGCGGCGCUCCCUGCCCGCUCUGUGCCGGGGGUGGGCGGGGUGGCGGGGGCACGUGGGCUGCAGUUGGGGACCUACGGCCCCUCUGCAGGCCCGGGGCUGUGAAAGGCUGCGGGGAGUGAUGUCCCGAGCAACGUGGGUGCUGUGUGGCUCGUAGCUCCUGUCAAGCACCGGUGACCCGCGGGGCAGGCAGCGGCCGGGCUUGUAGGCUUCUGUUCCUUCCCUUAAGGCACCAUUGGGGGCAGUGGGCGAGGUCCCCGGGCUUCGGCCACAGCUUUCCCUUAAGGUGUCAUUCAGGGGGGCGGAGGCUCAGGUCCGUAACCAGCUCCACUGCCCCCUUAACAUGUCAUUUGGGGGGGUGGCGGGCAGGGUUGGUUUCUCUCUGCCCACAGUCCUCUCUUAAGGCAUCGUUUGGGUCCGUGGUGGGGAGGGCCGGAGGACCCCCGCAGUCCUCCCUUAGGGUGUCUUUUGGGGGGGCAGCGGCAAGGUCCGUAGGCCCCCGCUGUCCUCUCUUAAGGUGCUAUUUGGGUUGGCAGUGGGUCUGGUCUGAACCCAUGUAGUUCUCACGUCAGGCCUUGGGGGGGGGGGGGGGGGCAGCAGGUCAGGCCCGUCGGGCUUGGCCCACGGCCCCUCCUUAAGGCGGGGCUGCAGUGGGCGAGGGCCUGGAGGUCGCUGCUGUCUGCUCUCGGGGUCAUCUUGCCGAGCUGCGGUGUGGUGCUGCCCUGCUCACAAAAGGGUCAAGCACCGACAGUCUUUCACACCCCCAAGCCUGAGCUACGGUGUGGUGCUGCCUAGCUCUGUGGGCGGUCAAGCACUGGUGGUCACUUGAGGGGGCUUGUGCCCUCUCAAGGCCAUCCCAUGGGGAAGCACGAGCACACGGGGUGCCGCCAAAGAAAACCAGCAGAGAAGACAACACAGGUGUGAACUUGCCUGGUAUUUAAUGGACAAAUAAAAUUGAUCUGCCAGGCACCUCUUUGGUGCCUGGUGCCUUUCACCUCCAAGUUCAUCCUUCCCCGCUGCGCUGUUUCUCUAAUCUCCUUUCCUGUUAUUUCACCUCCAAGUUUCCCCGCCCGCUGCCCUCUUUAAUUUCUGCAGUGGUCCUCUUGUGACCACUGCGUGCCGAGAGCCUACAGGCUGGCCGCUCGGGAUGCUGAAUCCCUUGCUGAAAAGGGAUUAGUGGGAGACGUCGCCCAUCUUUGCUGGCGGUUACAUCGGUCAUCUGAAGCUUCAGCUGUGAAUCACAUGAAGCAGGUCGCCUUCAGGGGUCAACCCACGUUGGUUGCCACCAGAAAAGAAGACAGGAAAGCAGAUGUGAGCUGGCCUGCUAUUUAAUGGACAAAUAAAAUUGAUCUGCCAGGCACCUCCUUGGUGUCUGGUGUCUUUCACCUCCAAGUUCAUCCUUCCCCACUGCGCUGUUUCUCUCAUCUUCUCUCCUGUUAUUUCACAUCCAAGUUUCCCCACCCGCUGCCCCCUUUAAUUUCUGCAGUGGUUCCCUUGUAACCACUGAGUGUGUCCUGAGUGUGCUGAGUGUGUGCUGAGUGUGUCCGAGCUGGUCAUCCAGGAUGCUGAAUCCCUUGCUGAAAAGGGAUUGAUGGAAGACAUCGCUUGCCUGGACCGGCCACCUGAGGCUGCAGCCUCGAAUCCCGCGAGACCGGUCCCCUUUGAGGGUCGAUGCACAUUGCCCCAGGAAGGACAAGCAGACGGGACGGCAGGCGAGCAGCAGUGAGCUGACCGGGAGGGAAGAAGGCCAGGCCAGCCAAACAGGAGGCCUCGGAAGAACGGGAAGGAGACGCGGAUGGGAAAGCAGCGGGGAAGAGGCGAGGUAGGAGAAAAGCCAGUUAGAGAAACGGGAUGUGAAGGAAAGGGACUCUGGACAGAGUGGCAUCCCUGCCUUCAGGUCUCGAUCAUGUCUUAGCCAAAUUUUGGCUUUGUGAGCCUUUGGGCAAGCUCCCUGUAACUCAAACGAGUCUCUGCCCUUGAUGUUCUUGCGCUUUUGCAGCAGUCAGGUGGAAGGCGGACAACCCUGUAAUCAAGGUGUGUCACCACCACCAUGUUUGUUAAGGCUGCGGAUCUGGUUAGUGGUCUUGCACAGCACAGCCCCACCCUGUCAUCAGAGUCGAGGCCAGCUGUCAGACUUGGCUGCCAAUUGCACAGCAACCCGUAAGUGGGGUGCGUGCUGCUUUCUAACAUGAGAAAAAAUGUCUAGCGCUGGACAUCCUGUAAUUGGGAGUCAAAAUCCACUGCUAUUCCUGGCCAGUCGAAGAGGAGCCCCUGUAAGCAGAGUGGACGUAGCCUCCUUCCACUGGCCUUAGGUAGCCGGAGCAGUUUGCACUGUUGUGCCGCAGGGCGGCCUUGCACACCAGAGCUGAGCCUCAUGGGGUGACAGCCAACUCUUUAGACCCCAGAACUUGAUGACUUUCCCGUGGUCUGGGUUGAAAUCUGUGGCCUCCUCUCCCCCUGUGUCCAGGCACCUGUCCUUUUUCAUGCAUCUGUGUCUGACUCCACGUCUGGACCCCUGGGCCGCCCUGUAACAAGGGUGCAAGUCCCGUGCCCCUGGUGGAAGGCUAAAUAGCGCAGAGCAGUGGACAUUCCUGUAAGCAGGGUCCAGCUCUCUAUGUCCCUUUGGGGACAGCCUUGUCCUUUGCCUGGCCUGGUGGCCCCCCUGUAAACAGGGGUCUGGGCCUCUCCCUUUUGCCCGCCGUGGGCAGUCUGACUAGCCAGACGGGCCGGGCCCUGUAACGAGGGCACCGGUCUCAGCCUUGUCGCCCCCUGGGAGCGGAGGAGGAUUUUCAGUAUAAGGUUCGAGGUCAAGCAGUUUGCAGCAUUGAGCUCCUUUCCAGCCUGGGAACACUUUUUACCCUUGUGAGAGUGUGGAGAGCGAGAGAGAGGAGCGCCUGGGAGCGAAAGCAUUUGUUAUUUUCUUUUUGUUGUUAAAAUCGAUGCAGCGUACUUUAUUUUCUUCCCAGUGCUGGAAAAGGGGCGAGAUGCGUCCUCAUAGCCUUUUCCUCCCACCUCCAUACCUAGGGGGACGGAUUUCCAGGCCUUUUGGUCUCGGGGAGCAUUAGGCCCCCUCUCUAAUACUUUGGGGCACACGGCCUCCCUGUAGUUCAGGGUACAGGCCUUAGACCCCCUCUUUUUGGGUUCCUUUGGGCACUUGGUAGCUCGAUUGCAGUUCCUGCCCUCCUUGAGAGACAGCCACGUGUUCCCCAGCCGAGUCCCUGGGGACGAGUGCCCUGGCACUUGGCCAGCCCUUGCUCUGCGCCCCCGCCCCCAGCCUGAAGCCUGUAAGCAGGGUCCAGGCCCCCUUGAUUCUCCGGGUCGGGUCUCGUCCCACUCGGUGAGGUUGGCCACAGAUGAUCCCCACAGACUGCAGGGAAGGUUGCAGGCUUGUGGAGGAUACGGGGUGCGCUGGGACCCCUGAGGCUUCGUGACCUUCCUGUAACUCAGGUUCCAGUCUCUGCUCCUCUGCUCUGCAGCUCCUGGCACCAUUGAGAUGGUCUCCUCUCACACCCUGUAAACAGGGCUGUGCCCCCCCAGCCCCUCUGACCUUGGGGGAGGAGGCCUCCUUUAGCCCUUUGGGCUCUGUGGCAGCCACGAUGGGUGGCUGAAGUAAUGGCCUUUGUGUCCCCCGACACAGGGCUGCUUUGAGCCCUGAUUGAGACUGCCUGAGGCACCUGUCAGCUGGCAUUCAGGGCUUUACAGAUUUUCUCUGGGCUUCAUGCCCCGCAGCCAGCUGUGUGCAGGGAGCACCGCCCUGUAAGUAGGGUUGCCGGUGUCUGUGGUCACCUUCAUGGUGCCGUCCUAGCACUUCUGUCCGGAGUCCUGGCCUGUCGUGCUCUGCUCCUGGCUGGCCCAGAUGUCGGCAGCCGAGCCCGCAGACGUCUGAUGUCCCCCAUCUCCACGGACAGAGGACAGUGGCCACAGGUCCAGAGGAAGAAGCAGAGGAGACAACAGACAAAUAGGAGUUAACCUAUAACCAGGACAGAAAACAGUGCCAGCCCACCAGGAGACAAAGGUCCCUGAAGAGCAGCUGGAGAAGGAGGAACAGAAGCUGGACAAGAAAGCUCAGAAGCAACAAGUGUGGGUUGGUGUGGGCAGGAGGAAGAGAGGCACAUGUUUAAUGUAUGCUUAAAUAAGUACAGAUGGAGACUGUCAUGUGCAUCUCUACACUUUCAAACACUCAGUAGGAGCAAGCUGCUGCACGCUUCAAGUUGCACCAUGGACUCGUUCUUGGGUUGGCCCUAUUUGUAGGCAGUGAGGUUGAGGCAUUGUGCGUAUUUGGUUGGCCACGAUUUGUAGGCAGUGAGGUUGAGGCAUUGUGCGUAUUGGGUUGGCACGGCACAAGGUGAAAAGUUUUUUUAUAUUGUUUAUUCUUCGACUGUGCACAUGCGGUUUGACAUUGAGCACGCCAACUACUGCUAGGAACAUUUGGACACAGGAGAUCUUCAUGCAUGGGGAUGGAGAUGAACCCUUUCAAACACCCAUGGAACUUCAACUUACAGACACAACCAAAUUGCACCACAAACAGCCUCAAACUGGCCCCACAACCUACGGCUAAAGCAAGCUACAGCCAAGCCACUAACCGAACUGAGCGCAAACCUGCAUUUCUACACCAACACUGACAACCCAACCCAGAAAACCCUUCAUGCUACCUUCAGUCACAUCUAUUUUGAUCAACUCCAGAACUAGCAAUACCAAACAACCUGCAAAAACCUAGACCACCACAUAUCAAUACGCACAACUAGCACAACACCCCAACCUCAUUGCCUACAAACCGUGGUGCUCUCCUACACUGAGAGGACUUGGCCAUUACCCUUUCCUGUUGUAAGCUGGCUGGAGGAAUAAUAAACGUUUUUUCAUUUUGUCUACUGAUCUGAUCUGUCUUGUUGAAUAAAAAUAUGUCCUGUUCUGAUUUAAAAAUAGUCAAAUAAUAUGACAGGUGAUGCCUAGUCACUAAUUGACAACUGUUAAUGCACUGUAGGAAAUCAGUCCUGAUUUAUUUGAGAAAAUAAAAAAUAAGGUACGGUGAA
Long non-coding RNA from Alligator mississippiensis (American alligator), 5360 nucleotides. RefSeq lists it as uncharacterized. The record is from RefSeq and is a predicted model, not a curated record. Lineage: Eukaryota; Metazoa; Chordata; Crocodylia; Alligatoridae. The transcript is spliced from 4 exons.